RNAcentral lists this ribosomal RNA (1528 nucleotides) under Klebsiella variicola. RNAcentral's name for it is "bacterial SSU rRNA". It matches the Rfam family "Bacterial small subunit ribosomal RNA". Lineage: Bacteria; Pseudomonadati; Pseudomonadota; Gammaproteobacteria; Enterobacterales; Enterobacteriaceae. The record is from RNAcentral.
AGAGUUUGAUCAUGGCUCAGAUUGAACGCUGGCGGCAGGCCUAACACAUGCAAGUCGAGCGGUAGCACAGAGAGCUUGCUCUCGGGUGACGAGCGGCGGACGGGUGAGUAAUGUCUGGGAAACUGCCUGAUGGAGGGGGAUAACUACUGGAAACGGUAGCUAAUACCGCAUAACGUCGCAAGACCAAAGUGGGGGACCUUCGGGCCUCAUGCCAUCAGAUGUGCCCAGAUGGGAUUAGCUGGUAGGUGGGGUAACGGCUCACCUAGGCGACGAUCCCUAGCUGGUCUGAGAGGAUGACCAGCCACACUGGAACUGAGACACGGUCCAGACUCCUACGGGAGGCAGCAGUGGGGAAUAUUGCACAAUGGGCGCAAGCCUGAUGCAGCCAUGCCGCGUGUGUGAAGAAGGCCUUCGGGUUGUAAAGCACUUUCAGCGGGGAGGAAGGCGGUGAGGUUAAUAACCUCAUCGAUUGACGUUACCCGCAGAAGAAGCACCGGCUAACUCCGUGCCAGCAGCCGCGGUAAUACGGAGGGUGCAAGCGUUAAUCGGAAUUACUGGGCGUAAAGCGCACGCAGGCGGUCUGUCAAGUCGGAUGUGAAAUCCCCGGGCUCAACCUGGGAACUGCAUUCGAAACUGGCAGGCUAGAGUCUUGUAGAGGGGGGUAGAAUUCCAGGUGUAGCGGUGAAAUGCGUAGAGAUCUGGAGGAAUACCGGUGGCGAAGGCGGCCCCCUGGACAAAGACUGACGCUCAGGUGCGAAAGCGUGGGGAGCAAACAGGAUUAGAUACCCUGGUAGUCCACGCUGUAAACGAUGUCGACUUGGAGGUUGUGCCCUUGAGGCGUGGCUUCCGGAGCUAACGCGUUAAGUCGACCGCCUGGGGAGUACGGCCGCAAGGUUAAAACUCAAAUGAAUUGACGGGGGCCCGCACAAGCGGUGGAGCAUGUGGUUUAAUUCGAUGCAACGCGAAGAACCUUACCUGGUCUUGACAUCCACAGAACUUUCCAGAGAUGGAUUGGUGCCUUCGGGAACUGUGAGACAGGUGCUGCAUGGCUGUCGUCAGCUCGUGUUGUGAAAUGUUGGGUUAAGUCCCGCAACGAGCGCAACCCUUAUCCUUUGUUGCCAGCGGUCCGGCCGGGAACUCAAAGGAGACUGCCAGUGAUAAACUGGAGGAAGGUGGGGAUGACGUCAAGUCAUCAUGGCCCUUACGACCAGGGCUACACACGUGCUACAAUGGCAUAUACAAAGAGAAGCGACCUCGCGAGAGCAAGCGGACCUCAUAAAGUAUGUCGUAGUCCGGAUUGGAGUCUGCAACUCGACUCCAUGAAGUCGGAAUCGCUAGUAAUCGUAGAUCAGAAUGCUACGGUGAAUACGUUCCCGGGCCUUGUACACACCGCCCGUCACACCAUGGGAGUGGGUUGCAAAAGAAGUAGGUAGCUUAACCUUCGGGAGGGCGCUUACCACUUUGUGAUUCAUGACUGGGGUGAAGUCGUAACAAGGUAACCGUAGGGGAACCUGCGGUUGGAUCACCU